GGAGGUAUUGCUCAGUGGUAGAGUGUGUGCUUAGCAUGUGUGAGGUCCUGGAUUCAAUCCCUGGUACCUCCA
Molecule: transfer RNA, 72 nt
Filed under: Camelus bactrianus (Bactrian camel)
Lineage: Eukaryota; Metazoa; Chordata; Mammalia; Artiodactyla; Camelidae
Also listed under: 2 other names
Rfam family: tRNA
About the family: Transfer RNA (tRNA) molecules are approximately 80 nucleotides in length. Their secondary structure includes four short double-helical elements and three loops (D, anti-codon, and T loops).
Source: Rfam by way of RNAcentral